Molecule: ribosomal RNA, 496 nt
Filed under: uncultured bacterium
Lineage: Bacteria
Description: partial 16S ribosomal RNA
Rfam family: Bacterial small subunit ribosomal RNA
Source: RNAcentral
GAUGAACGCUGGCGGCGUGCCUAAUACAUGCAAGUCGAGCGAACAGACGAGGAGCUUGCUCCUCUGACGUUAGCGGCGGACGGGUGAGUAACACGUGGAUAACCUACCUAUAAGACUGGGAUAACUUCGGGAAACCGGAGCUAAUACCGGAUAAUAUAUUGAACCGCAUGGUUCAAUAGUGAAAGACGGUUUUGCUGUCACUAAUAGAUGGAUCCGCGCCGCAUUAGCUAGUUGGUAAGGUAACGGCUUACCAAGGCAACGAUGCGUAGCCGACCUGAGAGGGUGAUCGGCCACACUGGAACUGAGACACGGUCCAGACUCCUACGGGAGGCAGCAGUAGGGAAUCUUCCGCAAUGGGCGAAAGCCUGACGGAGCAACGCGGCGUGAGUGAUGAAGGUCUUCGGAUCGUAAACCCCUGUUAUUGGGGAAGAACAAAUGUGUAAGUAACCAUGCACGUCUUGACGGUACCUAAGCAGAAAGCCACGGCUAACUACGU